This 290-nucleotide unclassified non-coding RNA is filed under the name uncultured fungus. RNAcentral's name for it is "partial contains small subunit ribosomal RNA, internal transcribed spacer 1, and 5.8S ribosomal RNA". The stretch from base 1 to 73 matches the Rfam family "Eukaryotic small subunit ribosomal RNA", at positions 1759 to 1831 of the family's 1831-position model. The record is from RNAcentral. Lineage: Eukaryota; Fungi.
GCAAACUUGGUCAUUUAGAGGAAGUAAAAGUCGUAACAAGGUUUCCGUAGGUGAACCUGCGGAAGGAUCAUUAAAGUAAAAAAGAAUCAUGCAUUCUUAAGAUCCCUCCUGUGAAUUUUGUAGCUGUUGCUUCCGCAGAUCACGAGCCUCGGCGGUUCCCUGCGGAGGGUUUGCAUCAACUCUCAAUUGUUGGAAUUUGUCUGAAUGCUGUAGAUGGAUUGAAAUCCAAAUACUCUUUAAAAACUUUCAACAAUGGAUCUCUUGGUUCUCGCAUCGAUGAAGAACGCAGC